UUAAGUGAAUAAGAGCGCACGGCGGAUGCCUUGGCACUAGGAGCCGAAGAAGGACGGGACGAACACCGAUAUGCUCCGGGGAGCUGUAAGUAAGCAAUGAUCCGGAGAUUUCCGAAUGGGGGAACCCAAUAUCCUUGAUCGGAUAUUAUGAAUAUAGUGAAUACAUAGCUAUGUUCAAGGAAGACGCGGCGAACUGAAACAUCUCAGUAGCCGCAGGAAGAGAAAGCAAAUGCGAUACCCUUAGUAGCGGCGAGCGAAAAGGGUACAGGCCAAACCAACAUGCUUGCAUGUUGGGGUUGUAGGACUGAAACAUAGGACUCAGCGAGUAAGCAAAAUAAUCUGGAAAGAUUAGCCACAGCAGGUGACAGCCCUGUAUGCGACUGCUCAAUGAGCCUUAUCAGAAUCCUGAGUACGGCGGGACACGAGAAAUCCCGUCGGAAUCCGGGUAGACCAUUACCCAAGCCUAAAUACUACCUAGUGACCGAUAGUGAACCAGUACCGUGAGGGAAAGGUGAAAAGAACCCCGGAAGGGGAGUGAAAUAGAACCUGAAACCGUGUGCUUACAAGUAGUCAGAGCCCGUUAAUGGGUGAUGGCGUACCUUUUGCAGAAUGGACCGGCGAGUUACGAUAACAUGCAAGGUUAAACCGAAGAGGUGGAGCCGCAGCGAAAGCGAGUCUGAAUAGGGCGUUCAGUAUGUUGUUGUAGACCCGAAACCAAGUGACCUAUCCAUGUCCAGGGUGAAAGUGCGGUGAAACGCACCGGAGGCCCGAACCCAAGUAUGUUGAAAAAUGCUGGGAUGAGGUGUGGAUAGCGGAGAAAUACCAAUCGAACUUGGAGAUAGCUGGUUCUCUCCGAAAUAGUUUUAGGACUAGCCUCGGAUUGAAACAAAUUGAAGGUAGAGCUACUGUUAGAACUAGGGCCCCUUAUCGGGGUACCGAAUUUUGAUAAACUCCGAAUUUCAAUUUUGUAGAUCCGGGAGUCACACUGCGAGCGCUAAGGUUCGUAGUGGAAAGGGAAACAGCCCAGACCGUCAACUAAGGCCCCCAAAUUCUUGUUAAGUGGAAAAGGAUGUGGGGCUGCUCAGACAACUAGGAUGUUGGCUUAGAAGCAGCCAUCAUUUAAAGAGUGCGUAAUAGCUCACUAGUCGAGUGGCCCUGCGCCGAAAAUGUACCGGGGCUAAACAAGAUGCCGAAGUUACGGAUGUAUCCUUAUGGGAUACGUGGUAGGAGAGCGUUCUAAGGGCAGUGAAGGUAAACCGUGAGGAUUGCUGGAGCGCUUAGAAGUGAGAAUGCCGGUAUGAGUAGCGCGACACAGGUGAGAAUCCUGUGCACCGAAAGACUAAGGUUUCCAGGGGAAGGCUCGUCCGCCCUGGGUUAGUCGGGACCUAAGCUGAGGCCAAACGGCGUAAGCGAUGGAUAGCAGGUGGAGAUUCCUGCACUAGUGAUAAUUGAUUGAACGAUGGAAGGACACAGUAGGCUAAGGUAAGCAUACAGCUGGUUUAGUAUGCCCAAGCAACAAGUCUUAGAAGGAGUCAAAUGCUUCUUCUUAUAAGGACAAGUUGUGAUGGGGAGGGAAGUUUAGUACCGAAGUACCCGAUGUCACACUGUCAAGAAAAUUUUCUAGUUAGAUUAUCACUACCCGUACCGCAAACCGACACAGGUAGUCGAGGAGAGUAUCCUAAGGUGAGCGAGAGAACUCUCGUUAAGGAACUCGGCAAAAUGACCCCGUAACUUAGGGAUAAGGGGUGCUGACCUCUGGUCAGCCGCAGUGAAUAGGCCCAAGCGACUGUUUAUCAAAAACACAGGUCUCUGCUAACUCGAAAGAGGAUGUAUAGGGGCUGACACCUGCCCGGUGCUGGAAGGUUAAGUGAAUAUGUUAGCGCAAGCGAAGCAUUGAAAUGAAGCCCCAGUAAACGGCGGCCGUAACUAUAACGGUCCUAAGGUAGCGAAAUUCCUUGUCGGGUAAGUUCCGACCCGCACGAAAGGUGUAACGAUUUGGGCACUGUCUCAACGAGAGACUCGGUGAAAUUAUAGUACCUGUGAAGAUGCAGGUUACCCGCGACAGGACGGAAAGACCCCAUGGAGCUUUACUGUAACUUGAUAUUGAAUGUCUACAUGAUUUGUACAGGAUAGGUAGGAGCCAAUGAAAUCUGGACGCUAGUCUAGAUGGAGGCGUAACUGGGAUACUACCCUAAUUGUGUGGCCAUUCUAACCCUCAACCGUGAUCCGGUUGGGAGACAGUGUCAGGUAGGCAGUUUGACUGGGGCGGUCGCCUCCCAAAAAGUAACGGAGGCGCCCAAAGGUUCCCUCAGAAUGGUUGGAAAUCAUUCGUAGAGUGCAAAGGCAGAAGGGAGCUUGACUGCGAGACUUACAAGUCGAGCAGGGACGAAAGUCGGGCUUAGUGAUCCGGUGGUUCCGCAUGGAAGGGCCAUCGCUCAACGGAUAAAAGCUACCCUGGGGAUAACAGGCUUAUCACUCCCAAGAGUUCACAUCGACGGAGUGGUUUGGCACCUCGAUGUCGGCUCAUCGCAUCCUGGGGCUGUAGUCGGUCCCAAGGGUUGGGCUGUUCGCCCAUUAAAGCGGUACGCGAGCUGGGUUCAGAACGUCGUGAGACAGUUCGGUCCCUAUCCGUCGCGGGCGUUGGAGAUUUGAAGAGAGCCAUCCUUAGUACGAGAGGACCGGGAUGGACACACCUCUGGUGUACCAGUUGUCAUGCCAAUGGCAUAGCUGGGUAGCUAUGUGUGGAAAGGAUAAACGCUGAAAGCAUCUAAGCGUGAAGCCCCCUUUAAGAUGAGAUCUCCCAUUCCUUUAAGGAAGUAAGACCCCUGAUAGACGAUCAGGUAGAUAGGCUGGAAGUGUAAGUAUAGCGAUAUAUUGAGCGGACCAGUACUAAUCGGUCGAGGACUUAACCAC
RNAcentral lists this ribosomal RNA (2913 nucleotides) under wastewater metagenome. Its description in RNAcentral is "bacterial LSU rRNA". It matches the Rfam family "Bacterial large subunit ribosomal RNA". The record is from RNAcentral.